AGUGAACGCUGGCGGUAGGCCUAACACAUGCAAGUCGAACGGCAGCACAGUAAGAGCUUGCUAUUACGGGUGGCGAGUGGCGUACGGGUGAGGAAUACAUCGGACUCUACUUUUUCGUGGGGGAGAACGUAGGGAAACUUACGCUAAUACCGCAUACGACCUACGGGUGAAAGCAGGGGAUCUUCGGACCUUGCGCGAUUGAAUGAGCCGAUGUCGGAUUAGCUAGUUGGCGGGGUAAAGGCCCACCAAGGCGACGAUCCGUAGCUGGGCUGAGAGGAGGAGCCGCCACACUGGAACUGAGAGACGGACCAGACUCCUACGGGAGGCAGCAGUGGGGAGUAUUGGACAAUGGGCGAAAGCCUGAUCCAGCCAGACCGCGUGGGUGAAGAAGGCCUUCGGGUUGUAAAGCCCUUUUGUUGGGAAGGAAAGCAGCAGGUUAAUACCCCGCUGUUCUGACGGUACCCAAAGAAUAAGCACCGGCUAACUUCGUG
Molecule: ribosomal RNA, 491 nt
Filed under: uncultured bacterium
Lineage: Bacteria
Description: partial 16S ribosomal RNA
Rfam family: Bacterial small subunit ribosomal RNA
Source: RNAcentral